CCUACGGGAGGCUGCAGUGAGGAAUAUUGGUAAAUGGGCGCGAGCCUGAACCAGCCAAGUAGCGUGAAGGAUGACUGCCCUACGGGUUGUAAACUUCUUUUAUAAAGGAAUAAAGUGAGGCACGUGUGCCGUUUUGUAUGUACGUUAUGAAUAAGGAUCGGCUAACUCCGUGCCAGCAGCCGCGGUAAUACGGAGGAUCCGAGCGUUAUCCGGAUUUAUUGGGUUGAAAGGGAGCGUAGAUGGGUUGUUAAGUCAGUUGUGCAAGUUUUCGGCUCAACCGUAAAAUUGCAAUUGAUACUGGCAGCCUUGAGUACAGUUGCGGUAGGCGGCAUUCGUGGUGUAGCCG
This 346-nucleotide ribosomal RNA is filed under the name uncultured bacterium. RNAcentral's name for it is "partial 16S ribosomal RNA". It matches the Rfam family "Bacterial small subunit ribosomal RNA", at positions 338 to 681 of the family's 1533-position model. The record is from RNAcentral.